RNAcentral lists this unclassified non-coding RNA (90 nucleotides) under Pseudomonas mediterranea. The record is from RNAcentral. Lineage: Bacteria; Pseudomonadati; Pseudomonadota; Gammaproteobacteria; Pseudomonadales; Pseudomonadaceae.
UGUGGGAGCGAGCCUGCUCGCGAUAGCGGUGAGUUAGCUUGCAACGAUUCUGAAUGUAUCGCCGUCAUCGCGAGCAGGCUCGCUCCCACA